CAACCUGGUUGAUCCUGCCAGUUAGUCAUAUGCUUGUCUUAAAGACUAAGCCAUGCAUGUCUAAGUAUAAAUAGUAUACAGUGAAACUGCGAAUGGCUCAUUAAAACAGUUAUAGUUUAUUUGAUAAUUAAAUCUACAUGGAUAACCGUAGUAAUUCUAGAGCUAAUACAUGCUGUAAGACCUGACUCACGAA
This 193-nucleotide ribosomal RNA is filed under the name uncultured eukaryote. Its description in RNAcentral is "partial 18S ribosomal RNA". It matches the Rfam family "Eukaryotic small subunit ribosomal RNA", at positions 1 to 194 of the family's 1831-position model. The record is from RNAcentral.